This 446-nucleotide ribosomal RNA is filed under the name uncultured bacterium. RNAcentral describes it as "partial 16S ribosomal RNA". It matches the Rfam family "Bacterial small subunit ribosomal RNA", at positions 338 to 795 of the family's 1533-position model. The record is from RNAcentral.
CCUACGGGUGGCAGCAGUCGAGAAUCAUUCACAAUGGGGGAAACCCUGAUGGUGCGACGCCGCGUGGGGGAAUGAAGGUCUUCGGAUUUUAAACCCCUGUCAUGUGGGAGCAAAUUAAAAAGAUAGUACCACAAGAGGAAGAGACGGCUAACUCUGUGCCAGCAGCCGCGGUAAUACAGAGGUAUCAAGCGUUGUUCGGAAUCACUGGGCGUAAAGCGUGCGUAGGCUGUUUCGUAAGUCGUGUGUGAAAGGCGCGGGCUCAACCCGCGGACGGCACAUGAUACUGCGAGACUAGAGUAAUGGAGGGGGAACCGGAAUUCUCGGUGUAGCAGUGAAAUGCAUAGAUAUCGAGAGGAACACUCGUGGCGAAGGCGGGUUCCUGGACAUUAACUGACGCUGAGGCACGAAGGCCAGGGGAGCGAAAGGGAUUAGAUACCCCAGUAGUC